CCUACGGGAGGCAGCAGUGAGGAAUAUUGGUCAACGGGUGCGAGCCUGAACCAGCCAAGUAGCGUGCAGGAUGACGGCCCUAUGGGUUGUAAACUGCUUUUAUACAGGGAUAAAGUCGGGGACGUGUUCCCCGUUUGCAGGUACUGUAUGAAUAAGGACCGGCUAAUUCCGUGCCAGCAGCCGCGGUAAU
Molecule: ribosomal RNA, 190 nt
Filed under: uncultured bacterium
Lineage: Bacteria
Description: partial 16S ribosomal RNA
Rfam family: Bacterial small subunit ribosomal RNA
Source: RNAcentral